Molecule: unclassified non-coding RNA, 921 nt
Filed under: Hevea brasiliensis (rubber tree)
Lineage: Eukaryota; Viridiplantae; Streptophyta; Magnoliopsida; Malpighiales; Euphorbiaceae
Source: RNAcentral
UCUUGCUAUUGCUGGUCAGUUCCCAGGUGCAAUUGCUGUUCAAAUCACGAAGGAUAAGAAAGUGUUUAAUAUCCAUUUAGAUUCCUCCAUUUGUGCAAAGCAUGGAGAAAAUGGAUCAACAAUGGCAGGAUUUGACAUUCAGACUAUUGGAAGGCAGCUUGGAUAUAUCCUCCGAAGUGAAACCAAAUUCAAGAAUUAUAAGAUAAACAAAACAUCUGCUGGGAUAGCCGUUACUAUGUUGAGCAAAAAUGUGGCUGCAGGACUGAAAAUUGAGAACCAGAUUGCUAUUGGAAAGCACUUGGCUUUGGUGGGUAAUGCUGGUGCUGUUAGAUCUGGAGGUGAUACAGCAUAUGGAGCCAACUUUGAAAUUCGCCUCAAAAGCAAGGAUUUUCCUGUAGAGCAGGAUCAAACCACAUUAGGCUUGUCUCUGAUGAAGUGGAGAGGUGAUUUGGGUGUAAUGGCCAACUUACAGUCUCAGUUUACCAUUGGUAGGAGUUCCAAAAUGGCCAUCAGUUUUGGAAUGAACAACAGGCGAAGUGGACAGAUCACCAUCAAGACCAGUAGCUCAGAACUGCAACUUGCCUUUAUCAGUAUUAUUCCAAUGGCAAUAUCCAUCUUAAAGAGUGUCUAUCCUGGUGGUGCUGUAAGAAACUCAUAAAUGCUAGAUUACUAGGGGUGUUUUUAUGGCAUCUAGCGUUUUCAGUUGGUUAAAUUUUGAAAGGCUAAACACUAUCAUCUCACUGGCCUUGAUGAUUAUAGCAACUUUGUUCAAUCUGCAAGAAAUUUAGGUUAUUUCAUAUGAGGGCAAGAGUAAGUCCAACGUCAGUGAACCGCGUAAAGAAUUAUAGACUCCUCAGUUUAUAUGUUAAACUAAUAUUUGGAAUAUGGACUUGUAUGAAAUGAAAAUUUUCUAUUUCGUUG